AUUAAACGCUGGCGGCAGGCUUAACACAUGCAAGUCGAGCGGGGAAGGGUAGCUUGCUACCUAACCUAGCGGCGGACGGGUGAGUAAUGCUUAGGAAUCUGCCAUUUAGUGGGGGACAACAUUCCGAAAGGAAUGCUAAUACCGCAUACGUCCUACGGGAGAAAGCAGGGGAUCUUCGGACCUUGCGCUAAAUGAUGAGCCUAAGUCGGAUUAGCUAGUUGGUGGGGUAAAGGCCUACCAAGGCGACGAUCUGUAGCGGGUCUGAGAGGAUGAUCCGCCACGCUGGGACUGGCACACGGCCCAGACUCCUACGGGAGGCAGCAGUGGGGAAUAUUGGACAAUGGGCGGAAGCCUGAUCCAGCCAUGCCGCGUGUGUGAAGAAGGCCUUAUGGUUGUAAAGCACUUUAAGCGAGGAGGAGGCUACUUAGAUUAAUACUCUAGGAUAGUGGACGUUACUCGCAGAAUAAGCACCGGCUAACUCUGUGCCAGCCGCCGCCGUAA
RNAcentral lists this ribosomal RNA (501 nucleotides) under uncultured bacterium. RNAcentral's name for it is "partial 16S ribosomal RNA". It matches the Rfam family "Bacterial small subunit ribosomal RNA", at positions 30 to 523 of the family's 1533-position model. The record is from RNAcentral.